AGAGUUUGAUCCUGGCUCAGAUUGAAGACGCUGGCGGCAUGCCUAACACAUGCAAAGUCGAGCGGGAACACGGUGUAGCAAUACCUGCUGACGAACGGCGAACGGGUGAGUAAUACAUCGGGAUCUGCCUCAAUGGUGGGAUAACGCAGCCGAAAGCUUAAGCUAAACCGCUAAUGCCCACGUGGUGAAAGCUGGGGAUCGCAGACCUGCGCCGAUGAGAUGAGCCGAAWGUCGGAUUAGCUAGUUGGYRGGGUAACGAGCCYACCAAGGCGACGAUCUCGUAGCUGGUCUGAGAGGAYGAYCAGCCACUACUGGRACUGAGACACGGYCCAGACUCUCUACGGGAGGCAGCUAGUGGGGAAUAUUGGACUAAUGGGSGMAASCUCUGAUCCAGCSAYGCCGCGU
This 405-nucleotide ribosomal RNA is filed under the name uncultured forest soil bacterium. RNAcentral's name for it is "partial 16S ribosomal RNA". It matches the Rfam family "Bacterial small subunit ribosomal RNA", at positions 8 to 402 of the family's 1533-position model. The record is from RNAcentral.